UGGUUCUGGCAUCGAUGAAGAACGCAGCGAAAUGCGAUAAGUAAUGUGAAUUGCAGAAUUCAGUGAAUCAUCGAAUCUUUGAACGCACAUUGCGCCCUCUGGUAUUCCGGGGGGCAUGCCUGUUCGAGCGUCAUUACACCUCUCAAGCUCAGCUUGGAAUUUGGAACCUAUCUCUUAAUCCAGAUAGUUCGGAAAAUUAGUGGCGGAGUCAUCAGAACUCUUAGCGCAGUAAUUCAAUCUCGUUAACAGACUUCUGGUUUUUCCAGCCAAAAUUUGUCUAUUUACAAUAGCCACUCUUUUAUGGUUGACCUCGGAUCAGGUAGGGAUACCCGCUGA
This 336-nucleotide unclassified non-coding RNA is filed under the name uncultured fungus. RNAcentral describes it as "partial contains 5.8S ribosomal RNA and internal transcribed spacer 2". The stretch from base 1 to 133 matches the Rfam family "5.8S ribosomal RNA", at positions 22 to 154 of the family's 154-position model. The record is from RNAcentral. Lineage: Eukaryota; Fungi.